Molecule: ribosomal RNA, 463 nt
Filed under: uncultured bacterium
Lineage: Bacteria
Description: partial 16S ribosomal RNA
Rfam family: Bacterial small subunit ribosomal RNA
Source: RNAcentral
GAUGAACGCUGACAGAAUGCUUAACACAUGCAAGUCGAUGGGGAAGUGGUGCUUGCACCAUGGCAACCAUGGCGGACGGGUGAGUAACGCGUAAGGGACUUACCUGCAGGACUGGGAUAACAGGGGGAAACUCCUGACAAGACCGGAUAAUGUCAUGGAGCUGCAUGGCUUUUUGAUGAAAGGAGACGCCUGCGGAGAGCCUUGCGUCCUAUUAGCUAGUUGUUGAGGUAAUGGCUCACCAAGGCGAAGAUAGGUAGCCGGCCUGAGAGGGUGGACGGCCACAAGGGGACUGAGAGACGGCCCUUACUACUACGGGAGGCAGCAGUGGGGAAUAGUGGACAAUGGGGGCAACCCUGAUCCAGCAAUUCUGUGUGCACGAAGAAGGUUUUCGGAUUGUAAAGUGCUUUCAGCAGGGAAGAAGUAAGUGACGGUACCUGCAGAAGAAGCGACGGCUAAAUACGUG